CUAUAACACUGCAAAAUUUCGUUGCUUUUGCUGUCCAAAUGCUUUAUGUGGAAGCUGCAUUGAUGUCCAGAGAGGUGUAUUUAACUUGCACUGAACUGCAAUUUUGGUGGCUCUUCCAGCUGAGACCACUUCAGGGACAUGUUUCUUACAGUAUUACAUCGAGUGUAUUCUGGCUCUUCAAGAAGCUAGCUGUAGACUCACACAAGGGAAGUAGGUGUAGUUAUCAAGAAUCUGGAUAUUUGGGCAUCUAGAGCUUCUCAUUCUAUGAAAUUUCUAACUAAAGGGGCUGCUGUUUCUGCCUAUCUAAGACUUCUUUAAGUUGUUGACGUACUAUUCUGGUGUCAAUGUUGUAACAAUGGUUGUUUCGCAUAAACCUUCCCUCCACUUUUUCCUUCUCCAUUUAUGUUCCAACGUAUGUUGUUCAAUGGAUCU
Long non-coding RNA from Alnus glutinosa, 432 nucleotides. RefSeq lists it as uncharacterized. The record is from RefSeq and is a predicted model, not a curated record. The transcript is spliced from 3 exons. Lineage: Eukaryota; Viridiplantae; Streptophyta; Magnoliopsida; Fagales; Betulaceae.